Molecule: unclassified non-coding RNA, 1904 nt
Filed under: Ixodes scapularis (black-legged tick)
Lineage: Eukaryota; Metazoa; Arthropoda; Arachnida; Ixodida; Ixodidae
Description: fAST kinase domain-containing protein 3, mitochondrial, transcript variant X4
Source: RNAcentral
AUUUGUAGAAAUUAUAUUCGGCCAACAAAAUUCUGUCUCAAAAUCACAAGCGCGAAAAAAAAAGUGGCAUCACGCAUACAGGGCCAUCUCAUGUAUCUUACAGGGAGUACAAAACACUCAAUCAAGUGCUUAAGUAAUCUAUUACGCCGCGAAUCGGGGGCAAGAGCCGCGUUACAUCGCGUCGGUAUUUCAACGGCACCUGCAAGCUUUUCGUAUUCGCCGGCAUGCAAACGCUGCGUAAUUUUAAAACGAACCAUCCCACAGUUCACCUCCACCCUACGUUGCCUCUCCAAGAAGACAACCAACACCGGAGGUGUGACCACGUCCACCAUGAUCUUGCAAGACGGGGUGAGCAUUGAGGAAUUGCCUGUCCUCAUUAAGAAACUUACCGCCGAGUCACUACUAUCGAGAGAGUAUGCAUCGAAACCGGACGCACCGCCCACAGAAACGCACGCAACCAUAGAGGCGAGCGGUAAAUUAUUUAAAGACUGUACGUCGAUUAAGGACGUGUACGCCACCUUGCACAAGUGUGAUUCCAAGGACAUAACUCCCGCUGUCGGCGUGAAAGCACUGGACAAAAUUUUAGAACUUCGGGAUUCUAACAAAAAUCACGCGCGAUCAAGACGGAAGAAUGAUGCGGACGGAGCUUCCGUCGUGAUCACUGAAUUGUGCAACCUUAUAACGUCUUCAGGAAGCUCCGAAGUUAUCUUGGACGGGCUUCGAACAGUCGUCAGGCACCGCCACAACGAAGCCGAGAGAAAACUAUACGUAGAUACUUUUAUCGAAGUCAUCUUCAGCCGAAUCUGCGAUGGGACUAUCAGCCUGCCCGAAAUCCUCGAGGUCACACUGUUGCUGGUGAACUGUGGCACGCAGUACCUCGACACCGUCGACCACUUCUGGCAGAGCAUUGUUACGCAGACUGUCGACAUGGAGAAGGACGACAUCGUUAAGCUCUAUGGCCUGCUCCCGUACUUCAAAAGCUCACAGAGCGUCGUGCUUCGGACAGUAGCUCGAAACACAACCAAGAAGAUUCUCAGUUUGAACUCCGAGGACGUCGCCUACAUACUCAACGUCCUGACACGGCUCAAGCUCGUUCCGCAGAGCCUGCUCUCAAGUCUUACGAAAUGGGUGAACCUGAACCUUCACGUCAUCCCAGAAAAAGACUUCGGUUCGGUCGUGCGCUGCCUGAAUGACCUGAGGCACCUCGACACAAGCAUCUCCAGGGCGGUCGAGCGCUAUGUCCGCAUCAGGGGCUCGAGUUGCGAUGAGCACACCAUUGACGCCUUGUCCGCAUAUUGUCACCAGUUCCGGUGGAGGAGCGAUGCCGUGUUGAGUUCCGCUUCCGAUUUCUUUGUGGCAAACCACAAAAGCAUGUCGCUGCCAACUGCCGUGAACAUGGUGAGGGCGUUUGGAUACCUGAACCUGACGCCCAAGAACCCCAUGGGCUUUUUUGGGUCGCUCGAGUGGCUGCUUCGCGAGAAGUUCAAUGUGUUUCGUCCCGAUCACUUGGUCGAAAUUCUGGUGGCCUGCGUCUAUCUUCAGAGGUACCCGCUCAACUUCGUCAAGAAGGUUUUCAGCCCAUACUUUCUUGACAGAAUGACUGACACGCUGGAAGAGAGCAUCCUCCGAAAGACUCACCAGAAACUCAAGUUCCUCGACUCUGCACUGACUUUGGAGUGCAAGCAGUACUACGGACCUUUCUUGCCCAGAUGGCAGGCUCUUGCGACUGAUGUGCUCGCUGCAAGAAGACAUGGAGCAGGUUGUGGGUGUUGAAAACUUCAGCUUCUCGGUUGUGCAGCCACGUCUUCCCCUACUCGACAUGUACAUCAUAGAUUAUGUGGUACAGCUGAACAAACAAGGAAAGCCUGUAACUUCAAAUGCUGUUGCUGGAGUUGACAAAAAGU